UCUGGAAGAGAGGACAGUGAGUGUGCAGUGUGUUUAGCAAUUGUUGCCAUAAUUCUAAGCCAAUAAAGUGUGUUCAGUGGAGAGGACGGCAAGGUUGUGCUAUUUUUAGCGGGUCCUACCGUAAUUCUAAGCCUAGGAAGUGUCUGUGUGUCAGGUGGUGAGGACA
Etheostoma spectabile (orangethroat darter) is the source of this 166-nucleotide long non-coding RNA. RefSeq lists it as uncharacterized. The record is from RefSeq and is a predicted model, not a curated record. The transcript is spliced from 4 exons. NCBI's taxonomy places the organism in Eukaryota, Metazoa, Chordata, Actinopteri, Perciformes, Percidae.